AAUUCUCAAUUAAGUUUUGCAUCAAUAUGGUUAAGGUUUCGAAGUAAUUUCUUAUAUAAACUUUUUACUUUAAAUCAUAAAAUCUUUUAGAUCAAAUCUAAAUUUUCAUGAUUCUAAAUCAAAAUAAUUUUGAUUAAUCAAGGUUAGAUAUAACUAGUUUCUUCACAACUUGCAUCACAUACAACAACACCUAGGAUUUUAAGAUCUAGAAUUUUAUAAGAAAGUAAGUUUUAUCCUUUCACUUUCUUCUUCAUGAGACCUCAUAGUGGCACUCCUACAUGCUAUGAAGAGCACUCUAUUGAAUGGAAAGAGAGGGUCACGAAACCCUACUUGCUCCUA
This 339-nucleotide long non-coding RNA is filed under the name Elaeis guineensis (African oil palm). RNAcentral describes it as "long non-coding RNA (EGUI_LNC068877)". The record is from RNAcentral. Lineage: Eukaryota; Viridiplantae; Streptophyta; Magnoliopsida; Arecales; Arecaceae.